AACGAACGCUGGCGGCAGGCUUAACACAUGCAAGUCGAACGCAUCCUUCGGGGUGAGUGGCAGACGGGUGAGUAACGCGUGGGAACGUGCCCUUCAGUUCGGGAUAACCCAGGGAAACUUGGGCUAAUACCGGAUACGUGCGAGAGCAGAAAGAUUUAUCGCUGAAGGAUCGGCCCGCGUCUGAUUAGCUAGUUGGUGGGGUAAUGGCCCACCAAGGCGACGAUUAGUAGCUGGUCUGAGAGGAUGAUCAGCCACAUUGGGACUGAGAAACGGCCCAAACUCCUACGGGAGGCAGCAGUGGGGAAUAUUGGACAAUGGGCGCAAGCCUGAUCCAGCCAUGCCGCGUGAGUGAUGAAGGCCUUAGGGUUGUAAAGCUCUUUCGUCCGGGACGAUAAUGACGGUACCGGAAGAAUAAGGACCGGCUAACUACGUGCCAGCCGCCGCCGUAA
RNAcentral lists this ribosomal RNA (449 nucleotides) under uncultured bacterium. Its description in RNAcentral is "partial 16S ribosomal RNA". It matches the Rfam family "Bacterial small subunit ribosomal RNA", at positions 29 to 523 of the family's 1533-position model. The record is from RNAcentral.